This 376-nucleotide ribosomal RNA is filed under the name uncultured bacterium. RNAcentral describes it as "bacterial SSU rRNA". It matches the Rfam family "Bacterial small subunit ribosomal RNA", at positions 32 to 419 of the family's 1533-position model. The record is from RNAcentral.
AAUCAACGCUGGCGGCGUGCCUAACACAUGCAAGUCGCACGAGAAAGGGACUUCGGUCCUGAGUACAGUGGCGCACGGGUGAGUAACACGUGAAUGAUCUACCUUCGAGUGGGGAAUAACUGAGAGAAAUCUUAGCUAAUACCGCAUAAUACCUACGGGUCAAAGCAGCAAUGCGCUUGAAGAGGAGUUCGCGGCAGAUUAGUUAGUUGGCAGGGUAAGGCCUACCAAGACGAUGAUCUGUAUCCGGCCUGAGAGGGCGCACGGACACACUGGAACUGAAACACGGUCCAGACUCCUACGGGAGGCAGCAGUGGGGAAUUUUGCGCAAUGGGGGAAACCCUGACGCAGCAACGCCGCGUGGAGGAUGAAAUCCCUU